This 505-nucleotide ribosomal RNA is filed under the name uncultured bacterium. RNAcentral describes it as "partial 16S ribosomal RNA". It matches the Rfam family "Bacterial small subunit ribosomal RNA", at positions 28 to 507 of the family's 1533-position model. The record is from RNAcentral.
GACGAACGCUGGCGGCGUGCCUAAUACAUGCAAGUCGAACGCACAGUUUAUACCGUAGCUUGCUGCACCAUAGACUGUGAGUUGCGAACGGGUGAGUAACGCGUAGGUAACCUGCCUGGUAGCGGGAGAUAACUAUUGGAAACGAUAGCUAAUACCGCAUAAUAUUAAUUAUUGCAUGAUAAUUAAUUGAAAGGUGCAAUUGCACCACUACCAGAUGGACCUGCGUUGGAUUAGCUAGUAGGCGAGGUAACGGCGCACCUAGGCGACGAUACAUAGCCGACCGGCUAGGGUGGGCGGCCACACUGGGAGGGAGACACGGCCCAGAGUCCCUGGGGUGGCAGCAGUAGGGCAUCUUCGGCAAGGGGCGGAAGUCUGACCGAGCAACGCCGCGGGAGGGAAGAAGGUUGUCGGAUCGUGAAGCUCGGUUGUAAGGGAAGAACGGGUUUGAGCGUGGAAAGUUCACACUGUGACGGUAACUUAUCAGAAAGCGACGGCUAACUACGUG